CUAAGGAGAGCUCUGGAACUGGGAUGAUCCUUCAGAGCUAGACCUUUCUUCCUAUUCAUCUAACAGUGAUUGGAUAUGGGGAGCUGUCUAUAGGAAGCGGGGGUGAUCUUGGGUGAGAAUGCUCUCUUCUGCUGAGAACAACUGCCAGAGGACUCAACUGAGCACCUUUAACCAUUAGCUGAGGCUUCUUAGCAGCUCCUCCGGCAUUCGGAUUGAUCUCUUUUACUGAGGAAGAGUUGCCUGAGAAUGGUUAGUGGGAUGCAACACAGCACCGUCUCUGCAAUUGGUCUCAAGACUGGAACUGUCUGCCAUAGCAACUCAAGUAAUGCAACUUUACUCAGCAUGGACCGUCACUUUCUCCAGACUUCUAAGAGAUGCCAUAGCAGAAAAUUUAUGCCUUUCCCUGCAGUCCUUGUCAAGUGUUAAAUCCCAUGGCCUUAUAUCCUGAGAGGAUGGCUCUAAAUCAAUAAACUCUCCU
This 478-nucleotide long non-coding RNA is filed under the name Homo sapiens (human). RNAcentral describes it as "HSALNT0366953". Lineage: Eukaryota; Metazoa; Chordata; Mammalia; Primates; Hominidae. The record is from RNAcentral.